This 529-nucleotide long non-coding RNA is filed under the name Mytilus galloprovincialis (Mediterranean mussel). The record is from RNAcentral. Lineage: Eukaryota; Metazoa; Mollusca; Bivalvia; Mytilida; Mytilidae.
AAACUUCAAGAAAACCUACAAAUUAUUGUCAAUAUUUUUGUAAAAAAACGUCUAACUUUAAUUAUGCUGAUAACACACCAGUUAAUUAAAUCUUAAAUAAAGACAACAGUUGUAUACCGCUGUACAAACUCAUAAACCCAUGGACGAAAAAAAAAUCGGGGUAACAAACCAAAACCGAAGGAAACGCAUUAAAUACAAGAAAAGAACAACGACACAACAUCAAAAUGCAACUCACACAGAAACGGACAUAACAUCAAAACCAAACACAUGAAUUUGGAAUAGACAAGUACCGUGCCACGUCUUACGGUAAUGUGAACCCACACUCGAAAAUAAGGGAAAACAAACGACACAACGUUAAAAUGUAACACACACUGAAAUGAUGACUUGGUACAGGACAUUUUUAAAGGAAAAAAAUGUGGGUUGAACCUGGUUUAGUGGCAUGCGAAACCUCCCUAUUUUGAGGCCAUGUGAAAUAUAACAUUAAAAUGACAAUACAAUAUUAUUAAAUAGGAGAACACAAUUGACAAAG